This 423-nucleotide ribosomal RNA is filed under the name uncultured bacterium. Its description in RNAcentral is "bacterial SSU rRNA". It matches the Rfam family "Bacterial small subunit ribosomal RNA", at positions 355 to 775 of the family's 1533-position model. The record is from RNAcentral.
UGAGGAAUAUUGGUCAAUGGGCGGAAGCCUGAACCAGCCAUCCCGCGUGCAGGAAGACAGCCCUAUGGGUUGUAAACUGCUUUUCCAGUGGGCGAAACACUCGUACGUGUACGAGAUUGACGGUACACUGGGAAUAAGCAUCGGCUAACUCCGUGCCAGCAGCCGCGGUAAUACGGAGGAUGCAAGCGUUAUCCGGAUUUGUUGGGUUUGAAGGGUGCGUAGGCGGAUGAAUAAGUCAGUGGUGAAAGGCUGCAGCUUAACUGUAGACUUGCCGUUGAUACUGUUUAUCUUGAGUAUGGUCAAGGCAGGCGGAAUGUGUAAUGUAGCGGUGAAAUGCCUAGAUAUUACACAGAACACCGAUUGCGAAGGCAGCUUGCUGGGCCAUUACUGACGCUGAUGCACGAAAGCGUGGGGAGCGAACAG